UGGGGGAUAUUGCACAAUGGGGGGAACCCUGAUGCAGCGACGCCGCGUGGGUGUAAGAAGCGCCUCGGCGCGUAAAGCCCUGUCAGCAGGGAAGAAAAUGACGGUACCUGAAGAAGAAGCCCCGGCUAACUACGUGCC
This 138-nucleotide ribosomal RNA is filed under the name uncultured bacterium. Its description in RNAcentral is "partial 16S ribosomal RNA". It matches the Rfam family "Bacterial small subunit ribosomal RNA", at positions 355 to 509 of the family's 1533-position model. The record is from RNAcentral.